RNAcentral lists this transfer RNA (90 nucleotides) under Actinomycetes bacterium. Its description in RNAcentral is "Actinobacteria bacterium tRNA-Ser". It matches the Rfam family "tRNA". From Rfam's summary of the family: Transfer RNA (tRNA) molecules are approximately 80 nucleotides in length. Their secondary structure includes four short double-helical elements and three loops (D, anti-codon, and T loops). The record is from RNAcentral. Lineage: Bacteria; Bacillati; Actinomycetota; Actinomycetes.
GGAGGAGUGCCGGAGCGGUUGAACGGGCCUGUCUCGAAAACAGGUGUGGUAGCAAUGCCACCGGGAGUUCGAAUCUCCCCUCCUCCGCCA